GUUUGAUCCUGGCUCAGGACGAACGCUGGCGGCGUGCCUAAUACAUGCAAGUCGAGCGGACAGAUGGGAGCUUGCUCCCUGAUGUUAGCGGCGGACGGGUGAGUAACACGUGGGUAACCUGCCUGUAAGACUGGGAUAACUCCGGGAAACCGGGGCUAAUACCGGAUGCUUGUUUGAACCGCAUGGUUCAAACAUAAAAGGUGGCUUCGGCUACCACUUACAGAUGGACCCGCGGCGCAUUAGCUAGUUGGUGAGGUAAUGGCUCACCAAGGCGACGAUGCGUAGCCGACCUGAGAGGGUGAUCGGCCACACUGGGACUGAGACACGGCCCAGACUCCUACGGGAGGCAGCAGUAGGGAAUCUUCCGCAAUGGACGAAAGUCUGACGGAGCAACGCCGCGUGAGUGAUGAAGGUUUUCGGAUCGUAAAGCUCUGUUGUUAGGGAAGAACAAGUACCGUUCGAAUAGGGCG
This 470-nucleotide ribosomal RNA is filed under the name Bacillus subtilis. RNAcentral describes it as "bacterial SSU rRNA". It matches the Rfam family "Bacterial small subunit ribosomal RNA", at positions 11 to 471 of the family's 1533-position model. The record is from RNAcentral. Lineage: Bacteria; Bacillati; Bacillota; Bacilli; Caryophanales; Bacillaceae.